UGUCUGAGGACAGACCAAGCUCAACAGCUACAAUGUUUUAAAAGCAGUUUCCAGAAUCUGAGUCCAGCUCCUGGACCUCUGCCAACAUCGUCUGUGUCUUAGGCCACACAAACAGAAGAAACUACUGUGUCUCAAUACUGCCCCCUGUUGUCCAUAAUGCGCUUUAUCCACCAGGGAGGUUUAUUGGUUCAUCGAUGGCAGCGAGAUGCCUGUGGCGCUCAAGCAGGCCUCUGUUGGGCAGACUGACACCCCAACAGGCUGCAAUUACCCCACAGCAAAGCCUAUUGUCUGUGUGUCACACCCUGAUGAGCACACACUGUGAAUAGAGAAUGCUGGCGGAUACACUAACAGAAUCAUUUUGCGUCCGUUUAAAAGGACAACGGGAAAAAGAGAGAGUGAAAAAGUAUCAGUGGAGAAAUUAGUGUUGCUAAAACAGCGGUUCAGAAGACUUCAGUCACAUGGAAGAAAGCUGUGAUUAGUCCAAUCUGUCAUUAGUGUCUCACUGACGGAGCCAUUAGCCUUGACAGAGGAGUAAAACGUUGCUCGGAGAGAUCUUUACGCCAAAUAUAUCACCCUUCAUCACUGAUUCAGGACUAGCAUAUGUAGCUCCAGAGCAAUGCAUUAAGGAAUGUCCUUAACAUUUUUAUUUCGUCAUUUACUCAUUCUCAUGUUGCUCUGAGUCCAUGUGACUUGCUUUCUUCCGUGAAACAACAACAACAAAAAAAGGAGAUAUUUUGAAGAAUGUGCCUGUCACUCUUUUCAGUGCAAUUACAAUGAAUGAGGC
Carassius carassius (crucian carp) is the source of this 784-nucleotide long non-coding RNA. RefSeq lists it as uncharacterized. The record is from RefSeq and is a predicted model, not a curated record. The transcript is spliced from 3 exons. NCBI's taxonomy places the organism in Eukaryota, Metazoa, Chordata, Actinopteri, Cypriniformes, Cyprinidae.